AUGUGGCUCAGUUGGUAGAGCGCUUGCCUCGGAUGCAUGAAGCCCUGGGCAUAAACCCAGUAU
RNAcentral lists this transfer RNA (63 nucleotides) under Rattus norvegicus (Norway rat). It matches the Rfam family "tRNA", at positions 5 to 66 of the family's 71-position model. From Rfam's summary of the family: Transfer RNA (tRNA) molecules are approximately 80 nucleotides in length. Their secondary structure includes four short double-helical elements and three loops (D, anti-codon, and T loops). Lineage: Eukaryota; Metazoa; Chordata; Mammalia; Rodentia; Muridae. The record is from Rfam by way of RNAcentral.